UACAGAGGGGCAAGCGUUGUUCGGAAUUACUGGGCGUAAAGGGCGCGUAGGCGCCCUUCUAAGUCGAACGUGAAAUCCCCGGGCUCAACCCGGGAACUGCGUCCGAUACUGGAAGGCUUGAAUCCGGGAGAGGGAUGUGGAAUUCCAGGUGUAGCGGUGAAAUGCGUAGAGAUGUGGAGGAACACCGAUGGCGAAGGCAGCCCCCUGGGACCUGACUGACGCUCAUGCACGAAAGCGUGGGGAGCAAACAGG
Molecule: ribosomal RNA, 252 nt
Filed under: uncultured bacterium
Lineage: Bacteria
Description: partial 16S ribosomal RNA
Rfam family: Bacterial small subunit ribosomal RNA
Source: RNAcentral